GGGCACUUGGUCGAAUGGGAAGACAGCAGGAAACCUUGAGUGGGACCUGCAGGCCUGGGUUCGAUCCCCAGAGUGUCCA
This is a non-coding RNA of Xylariaceae sp. FL1019, 79 nucleotides long. The record is from the annotation of a GenBank genome assembly. Lineage: Eukaryota; Fungi; Ascomycota; Sordariomycetes; Xylariales; Xylariaceae.